UACGUAGGUGACAAGCGUUGUUCGGAUUUACUGGGCGUAAAGGGCGCGUAGGCGGCGCGGUAAGUCACUUGUGAAAUCUCUGAGCUUAACUCAGAACGGCCAAGUGAUACUGCAGUGCUAGAGUGCAGAAGGGGCAAUCGGAAUUCUUGGUGUAGCGGUGAAAUGCGUAGAUAUCAAGAGGAACACCUGAGGUGAAGACGGGUUGCUGGGCUGACACUGACGCUGAGGCGCGAAAGCCAGGGGAGCAAACGGG
This 253-nucleotide ribosomal RNA is filed under the name uncultured bacterium. RNAcentral describes it as "partial 16S ribosomal RNA". It matches the Rfam family "Bacterial small subunit ribosomal RNA", at positions 524 to 776 of the family's 1533-position model. The record is from RNAcentral.